This 1197-nucleotide long non-coding RNA is filed under the name Oryctolagus cuniculus (rabbit). Its description in RNAcentral is "lncRNA (ENSOCUG00000030237.1)". Lineage: Eukaryota; Metazoa; Chordata; Mammalia; Lagomorpha; Leporidae. The record is from RNAcentral.
UUUUUUUUGACAGGCAGAGUGGACACAGAGAGAGAGACAGAGAGAAAGGUCUUCCUUUGCCGUUGGUUCACCCUCCAAUGGCUGGCACACUGCGGCCGGCGCACUGCGCUGAUCCGAUGGCAGGAGCAAGGUGCUUCUCCUGGUCUCCCAUGGGGUGCAGGGCCCAAGCACUUGGGCCAUCCUCCACUGCACUCCCGGGCCACAGCAGAGAGCUGGCCUGGAAGAGGGGCAACCAGGACAGAAUCCGGCGCCCCGACCAGGACUAGAACCUGGUGUGCUGGCGCCGCAGGCAGAGGAUUAGCCUAGUGAGCCGUGGCGCCGGCCCAGAAUCAUUUUACACAAAGAUUUUAUCUAAUUCCGCAGAAACAAACACAUUUUAAUUUAUUGAAAGCAGAGCAACAGAGAAAGAUCUUCCAUCCACCGGUUCACUCCUUAAAUGGCUACAGCAUCCGGGUCUGGCCAGGCAGGAGCCAGCAGCCAGGAACUCUGCCCUGGCCUCCCACGUGGGUGCAGGGGCCCAAGCUGGAUCGGAAGCGGAACAGUCAGCCGGGACUCAAACUGGGGCUCCCAUCUCUGCAGCCGCUGCCUGGCCAGCAGAAGCUCAGGCUGGAGCAGCCACAGGGCGGCCUCUGGAGCCAGGCAAGGGGAAGCCAGCACCGCAAGGCAGUGGGUGCAGGUGAGCCAAGGAGAUGCGCCUGGGCCCUGCGCCGAAGCCGCCUUUCAGUGCUCCCGAGGACGAGGAGGGGCCACGUCGCUCGUUCCUGUAAGGAAAAUCCCACCCAGCGGGGCCGUCAGCCCCCAGGGUCCCACAGUGCCUCCUGCUGGAGCCAGGUUUUGACCCCGGUCCCUGCAACCCCAGAUCCCAAUCUCUACCCCAGCGGAGGCGGAGCCAAAGUGGAAAAGGCCUGAAGUGCCUGGGGGGGGGGGGGGCAACCUAAGGGGCAGGUGGCACCCGGAGGACAUGGACGCCAGGGGCCCUGCCCUGAGCCAGCCACGAGCAGCGGCUUUGGGGCUUUCUGAGUUCAGAGGUCACGGUCAGCCAGGUUGCAAAUGUGAGGAACCAGGCCCAAUCUUCGUGGGACGAGAUUCUGAUAAGGGGGCCCCUCUGGGAAACUCGGAGCCCGUGUCCUGCACGGUCCAGGAGCUCACAGCCCUGCCUGGUCCUGCCCGUCUCACCAGCAGGGACACACCUCGAAG